This 533-nucleotide ribosomal RNA is filed under the name uncultured Verrucomicrobiota bacterium. RNAcentral's name for it is "bacterial SSU rRNA". It matches the Rfam family "Bacterial small subunit ribosomal RNA", at positions 97 to 610 of the family's 1533-position model. Lineage: Bacteria; Pseudomonadati; Verrucomicrobiota. The record is from RNAcentral.
GGCGAAAGGGUGCGUAACACGUGGGUAAUCUGCCGUGAAGUUCGGAACAACUCCGGGAAACCGGGGCUAAUGCCGAAUGUGGAUGUUGGGAUUCCUUUCCGACAUCUAAAGCCGGGGACCGUAAGGCCUGGCGCUUCAUGAUGAGCCUGCGGCCUAUCAGCUAGUUGGUGGGGUAACGGCUCACCAAGGCGAAGACGGGUAGCUGGUCUGAGAGGACGACCAGCCACACUGGAACUGAGACACGGUCCAGACACCUACGGGUGGCAGCAGUCGAGAAUUUUUCACAAUGGGCGAAAGCCUGAUGGAGCGACGCCGCGUGGGGGAUGAAUGGCUUCGGCCCGUAAACCCCUGUCAUUUGCGAGCAAAUUCGCCGCUUGAACAAAGCGGCGGACUGAUAGUAGCGAAAGAGGAAGGGACGGCUAACUCUGUGCCAGCAGCCGCGGUAAUACAGAGGUCCCGAGCGUUGUUCGGAUUUACUGGGCGUAAAGGGUGCGUAGGUGGCAGGGUAAGUUCGGUGUGAAAGCUUCGAGCUC